Molecule: ribosomal RNA, 253 nt
Filed under: uncultured bacterium
Lineage: Bacteria
Description: partial 16S ribosomal RNA
Rfam family: Bacterial small subunit ribosomal RNA
Source: RNAcentral
UACGAGUGCCUCAAGCGUUAUCCGGAAUUAUUGGGCGUAAAGGAUGUGUAGGUGGUCGUGUUAGUCUCUUGUUAAAUUCUUCGGCUUAACCGGGGACCUGCAAGGGAAACGGCACGACUAGAGGAUGCGAGGGGUCUGCGGAACUCAUAGUGUAGCGGUGAAAUGCGUUGAUAUUAUGGGGAACACCAAAAGCGAAGGCAGCAGACUGGAGCACUCCUGACACUGAAACAUGAAAGCGUGGGUAGCGAAUGGA